Molecule: long non-coding RNA, 1090 nt
Filed under: Astyanax mexicanus (Mexican tetra)
Lineage: Eukaryota; Metazoa; Chordata; Actinopteri; Characiformes; Acestrorhamphidae
Description: lncRNA (ENSAMXG00005023216.1)
Source: RNAcentral
GAAAAAAGGCUCUUAGUACAGAUCAAGUUUUGACCCAUUCAUCUGUUACUCAGCUGUAUAUUCCCCAUCACAAGUGAUGUUACAACACAAGAAGGUUGAAGACUAGCACAUGCCUCCUCCGACACAUGUGAAGUCAGCCACUGCCUCUUUUUGAAAUGCUGCUGAUGCAGCAUUGCCGAGUCCUGAUACAUCAGCUCACAGACGCAGCCUUGUGCUGAUCGACAUCACCCUAGGAGUUAUUUACUUACUCAGAGAAAGCAAGGCCAGUUGUGCUCUCUCAGGGCUCCGGCAGCUGAUGGCAAGCUACAUAACCGGGAUUCGAACCAGCGAUCUCCCAAUCGUAGUGGCAUGUCAAAAACAUGCUAACUUCGUUAACUUUAACAACCAUAAUAUGCUAAAACAAUAAUUUGCUUCUAAAAUUCCAAAGCCAAUCCACAUGUUUGGAGUGAUUUACUUAAUGGUGAAAAAGGAGUGAAAAGGCAUAUUAUGAAAAGACACAGGGACCUCUGUAGAUCAGGUUGAGGUAAAUUCAGCACCAUCUUUAGUAAGAUUUAGAAACUCAAAAUAUGCUGUACCAACUGUUGAGUAGAAUGUUAGAGACAUAAAAUUUGCUGAGAUGAUUUUUUUUGUUUAUGUUCUGACUGCCUAUUUUUUUCUAAGAUACAGAUUAAAUAAUUUAAUUCAGUUAAUACCUUUACCUGCGCUUGUGCUUGUGAGUUAACAGAACUUUACUACUGUCUGUGUGUGUGUGUAUUCAUGUUUUCCGUGUUUGUGUGUCUGUCUCUCAGUUCUGUCAUCCUCAUCAGAGAGUAAACAGCCGAGUGACUCACCGUUCUCCAUUCACGCUCCCAUGCUGCCACUGUCUUGGCUGGAGUUGUGGAUUCCUGCUCUGUGUUCGGCAGCGGCUCCGGAGACGGAAGACGUCAUGGAGGCGGGCAGGGCUGACGGAGCUGCCCGCCGCAGGGCUGGUGUUACUGCUGUGUUGAUGGAUGGACUGGCGUUUGCCCCAUGAGAGUGCCACUCAUUCACUGUCAGCUUUCAUUAGCCUGAAAGCAGGCUGAACAAAACAACAAGGUCGACAUGCUUUACC